This 70-nucleotide transfer RNA is filed under the name Marmota monax (woodchuck). Its description in RNAcentral is "tRNA.Pro". The record is from RNAcentral. Lineage: Eukaryota; Metazoa; Chordata; Mammalia; Rodentia; Sciuridae.
GGGCUGGGGAUCAGUGGUAGAGCACUCGCCUCGGAUGUGCGAGACCCUGGGUUCGAUCCUCAGCACCACA